Molecule: microRNA precursor, 167 nt
Filed under: Oryza sativa (Asian cultivated rice)
Lineage: Eukaryota; Viridiplantae; Streptophyta; Magnoliopsida; Poales; Poaceae
Description: miR7694 stem-loop (osa-MIR7694)
Source: miRBase by way of RNAcentral
UUACUCCCUUUGUCCCAAAAUAUAGCAACCUAGUACUGGAUUAGUCACCACCUAGUAUUAUGAAUCUGGACAGAGAGGGGUUGGACAGAGGGCUCUGUCCAUAUUCGUAGUGCUAGGUGGUGUCUAAUCCAAUACUAGGCUGCUAUAUUUUUGGAUGGAGGGAGUAG